GAUGAACGCUAGCUACAGGCUUAACACAUGCAAGUCGAGGGGGAAACGACAUCGAAAGCUUGCUUUUGAUGGGCGUCGACCGGCGCACGGGUGAGUAACGCGUAUCCAACCUGCCCAUCACUUGGGAAUAACCUUGCGAAAGUAAGACUAAUACCCAAUGACAUCCCACGAAGACAUCUGAAUGGGAUUAAAGAUUUAUCGGUGAUGGAUGGGGAUGCGUCUGAUUAGCUUGUUGGCGGGGUAACGGCCCACCAAGGCAACGAUCAGUAGGGGUUCUGAGAGGAAGGUCCCCCACAUUGGAACUGAGACACGGUCCAAACUCCUACGGGAGGCAGCAGUGAGGAAUAUUGGUCAAUGGGCGAGAGCCUGAACCAGCCAAGUAGCGUGCAGGAUGACGGCCCUAUGGGUUGUAAACUGCUUUUAUAAGGGAAUAAAGUGGGUCUCGUGAGACUUUUUGCAUGUACCUUAUGAAUAAGGACCGGCUAAUUCCGUG
This 493-nucleotide ribosomal RNA is filed under the name uncultured bacterium. RNAcentral describes it as "partial 16S ribosomal RNA". It matches the Rfam family "Bacterial small subunit ribosomal RNA", at positions 28 to 507 of the family's 1533-position model. The record is from RNAcentral.